CGGAGAAGGGUAUAAUACGAAGGCUAUGUCAGCCGGGCGACGGUUGUCCCGGUUUAAGCAUGUAGGCGGAGGUUCCAGGUAAAUCCGGUACCUUGUUAACGCUGAGGUGUGAUGACGAGGCACUACGGUGCUGAAGUGAUAAAUGCCCUGCUUCCAGGAAAAGCCUCUAAGCAUCAGGUAACACGAAAUCGUACCCCAAACCGACACAGGUGGUCAGGUAGAGAAUACCAAGGCGCUUGAGAGAACUCGGGUGAAGGAACUAGGCAAAAUGGUGCCGUAACUUCGGGAGAAGGCACGCUGAUAUGUAGGUGAAGUCCCUGCGGACGGAGCUGAAAUCAGUCGAA
RNAcentral lists this ribosomal RNA (344 nucleotides) under Enterobacter hormaechei. Its description in RNAcentral is "partial 23S ribosomal RNA". It matches the Rfam family "Bacterial large subunit ribosomal RNA", at positions 1459 to 1791 of the family's 2925-position model. Lineage: Bacteria; Pseudomonadati; Pseudomonadota; Gammaproteobacteria; Enterobacterales; Enterobacteriaceae. The record is from RNAcentral.